CCUACGGGUGGCAGCAGUGAGGAAUAUUGCUCAAUGGACGCAAGCCUGAACCAGCCAUGCCGCGUGCAGGAAGACGGCUCUAUGAGUUGUAAACUGCUUUUGUACGAGGGUAAACGCAGAUACGCGUAUCUGUCUGAAAUUAUCGUACGAAUAAGGAUCGGCUAACCCCGUGCCAGCCGCCGAGGCAAUACGGAGGAUUCAAGCGUUACCCGGAUUUAAUGGGUGUAAAGGGUGCGUAGGCGGUCGGAUAAGUUAGAGGUGAAAUCCCGAGGCUCAACUUCGGAAUUGCCUCUGAUACUGGUCGCCUAGAGAGUAGUUGCGGUAGGCGGAAUGUAUGGUGUAGCGGUGAAAUGCUUAGAGAUCAUACAGAACACCGGUUGCGAAGGCAGC
RNAcentral lists this ribosomal RNA (390 nucleotides) under uncultured bacterium. RNAcentral describes it as "partial 16S ribosomal RNA". It matches the Rfam family "Bacterial small subunit ribosomal RNA", at positions 338 to 725 of the family's 1533-position model. The record is from RNAcentral.